UAGGUGGGCACGGGUGAUCCGGCCGGUGUGGCUAUACCUUUAGCGAUGACCUCGGGAAUGGGCGGAAUACGAACUGCCGGAGAUCUGGUGGCACGUAUGC
This is a non-coding RNA of Desulfobacteraceae bacterium 4572_123, 100 nucleotides long. The record is from Rfam. NCBI's taxonomy places the organism in Bacteria, Pseudomonadati, Thermodesulfobacteriota, Desulfobacteria, Desulfobacterales, Desulfobacteraceae.